Transfer RNA from Geoalkalibacter subterraneus, 84 nucleotides. It matches the Rfam family "tRNA". Rfam says of the family: Transfer RNA (tRNA) molecules are approximately 80 nucleotides in length. Lineage: Bacteria; Pseudomonadati; Thermodesulfobacteriota; Desulfuromonadia; Desulfuromonadales; Geoalkalibacteraceae. The record is from Rfam.
GCCGAAGUGGUGGAAUUGGUAGACACGCUAGGUUCAGGGUCUAGUGGGCGUAGGCCCGUGGGAGUUCGAGUCUCCCCUUCGGCA